AUUUCAAUUGAAUAUAUUGUCUUAUUAUGAGCAGCAAAUGCUCUACCAGCAGUAAAAGAAAAUCAAAGACUGAAAACUUUCAGCCAAGCAUUGUUUGAACUAUGAAAGAUAUGAUUAAAAGUGGCCAGCAAAGCGCCAAAUCUUAGACAGUGUAUCAAUUCCA
Molecule: long non-coding RNA, 163 nt
Organism: Etheostoma cragini (Arkansas darter)
Lineage: Eukaryota; Metazoa; Chordata; Actinopteri; Perciformes; Percidae
Exons: 3
Source: RefSeq, a predicted model, not a curated record